RNAcentral lists this small RNA (174 nucleotides) under Gopherus agassizii (Agassiz's desert tortoise). Its description in RNAcentral is "TUC338 (ENSGAGG00000024860.1)". The record is from RNAcentral. Lineage: Eukaryota; Metazoa; Chordata; Testudines; Testudinidae.
CAGAACCAGGCUCAGAAGUCCUAUCUUUGUGCAAAGGUAUAGCAUGUGUUGUGGCAGAGCAAGCUUUCCGCCACAUGAUCACUCCACCAAUGUGCCACAACCCUGACAUGGUAGAACCACGUUUAGGAAAUAGAGAUUAGUUUAUUUUCCUUGCCUGUUCAUUCUUUGGAAUCU